CAGUCGAACGGAACUGUUUUGAAAGAUUUCUUCGGAAUGAAUUUGAUUUACUUUAGUGGCGGACGGGUGAGUAACGCGUGAGUAACCUGCCUUCAAGAGGGGGAUAACAUUCUGAAAAGAAUGCUAAUACCGCAUGACAUAUCGGAAUCACAUGGUUUUGAUAUCAAAGAUUUUAUCGCUUGAAGAUGGACUCGCGUCCGAUUAGUUAGUUGGUGAGGUAACGGCUCACCAAGACCGCGAUCGGUAGCCGGACUGAGAGGUUGAACGGCCACAUUGGGACUGAGACACGGCCCAGACUCCUACGGGAGGCAGCAGUGGGGGAUAUUGCGCAAUGGGGGCAACCCUGACGCAGCAACGCCGCGUGAAGGAUGAAGGUUUUCGGAUUGUAAACUUCUUUUAUUAAGGACGGAACUUGACGGUACUUAAUGAAUAAGCUCCGGCUAACUACGUGCCAGCAGCCGCGGUAAUACGUAGGGAGCAAGCGUUGUCCGGAUUUACUGGGUGUAAAGGGUGCGUAGGCGGCUUUGCAAGUCAGAUGUGAAAUCUAUGGGCUCAACCCAUAAACUGCAUUUGAAACUGUAGAGCUUGAGUGAAGUAGAGGCAGGCGGAAUUCCCCGUGUAGCGGUGAAAUGCGUAGAGAUGGGGAGGAACACCAGUGGCGAAGGCGGCCUGCUGGGCUUUAACUGACGCUGAGGCACGAAAGCGUGGGUAGCAAACAGGAUUAGAUACCCUGGUAGUCCACGCUGUAAACGAUGAUUACUAG
This 763-nucleotide ribosomal RNA is filed under the name uncultured bacterium. Its description in RNAcentral is "bacterial SSU rRNA". It matches the Rfam family "Bacterial small subunit ribosomal RNA", at positions 59 to 819 of the family's 1533-position model. The record is from RNAcentral.